GCGUGAGUAACCUGCCUUCAAGAGGGGGAUAACAUUCUGAAAGAAUGCUAAUACCGCAUGACAUAUCGGAACCACANGGUUUUGAUAUCAAAGAUUUUAUACGCUUGAAGAUGGACUCGCGUCCGAUUAGUUAGUUGGUGAGGUAACGGCUCACCAAGACCGCGAUCGGUAGCCGGACUGAGAGGUUGAACGGCCACAUUGGGACUGAGACACGGCCCAGACUCCUACGGGAGGCAGCAUG
This 241-nucleotide ribosomal RNA is filed under the name uncultured bacterium. Its description in RNAcentral is "partial 16S ribosomal RNA". It matches the Rfam family "Bacterial small subunit ribosomal RNA", at positions 115 to 353 of the family's 1533-position model. The record is from RNAcentral.